AUUCCGGUUGAUCCUGCCGGAGGCCAUUGCUAUCGGAGUCCGAUUUAGCCAUGCUAGUCGUGCGAGUUCAGACUCGCGGCACCGAGCUCAGUAACACGUGGCCAAACUACCCUACAGAGACGGACACCCUCGGGAAACUGAGGUUAACCCGUCAUACCGAUCUCAGGCUUGAAUCGCAGAGAUCACAAAACGCCCCGGCGCUGUAGGAUGUGGCUGCGGUUGAUUAGGUAGACGGUGGGGUAACGGCCCACCGUGCCCAUAAUCAGUACAGGUUGUGAGAGCAAGAACCUGGAGACGGAAUCUGAGACAAGAUUCCGGGCCCUACGGGGCGCAGCAGGCGCGAAACCUUUACACUGCACGCACGUGCGAUAAGGGGACUCCGAGUGCGAGGGCAUAUCGUCCUCGCUUUCGUGUACCGUAGGGUGGUACACCAACAAGGGCUGGGCAAGACCGGUGCCAGCCGCCGCGGUAAUACCGGCAGCCCGAGUGAUGGCCGAUCUUAUUGGGCCUAAAGCGUCCGUAGCUAAG
Molecule: ribosomal RNA, 528 nt
Filed under: uncultured Haloquadratum sp.
Lineage: Archaea; Methanobacteriati; Methanobacteriota; Halobacteria; Halobacteriales; Haloferacaceae
Description: bacterial SSU rRNA
Rfam family: Archaeal small subunit ribosomal RNA
Source: RNAcentral